UACGUAGGGGGCUAGCGUUAUCCGGAAUUACUGGGCGUAAAGGGUGCGUAGGUGGUUUCUUAAGUCAGAGGUGAAAGGCUACGGCUCAACCGUAGUAAGCUCUUGAAACUGUAAGACUUGAGUGCAGGAGAGGAGAGUGGAAUUCCUAGUGUAGCGGUGAAAUGCGUAGAUAUUAGGAGGAACACCAGUGGCGAAGGCGGCUUUCUGGACAGUAACUGACGCUGAGGCGCGAAAGCGUGGGGAGCAAACAGGAUUAGAUACCCGGGUAGUCCCUGAGCGGG
Molecule: ribosomal RNA, 281 nt
Filed under: uncultured prokaryote
Description: partial 16S ribosomal RNA
Rfam family: Bacterial small subunit ribosomal RNA
Source: RNAcentral